RNAcentral lists this unclassified non-coding RNA (22 nucleotides) under Dictyostelium discoideum. Lineage: Eukaryota; Evosea; Eumycetozoa; Dictyosteliales; Dictyosteliaceae. The record is from RNAcentral.
UCCAAUCUCAUGUAAUGUCCUU